This 253-nucleotide ribosomal RNA is filed under the name uncultured bacterium. Its description in RNAcentral is "partial 16S ribosomal RNA". It matches the Rfam family "Bacterial small subunit ribosomal RNA", at positions 524 to 776 of the family's 1533-position model. The record is from RNAcentral.
GACGUAGGGGGCCAGCGUUGCUCGGAAUUACUGGGCGUAAAGGGUUCGUAGGCGGUGUGGCAAGUCGGUAGUGAAAUCUCCAGGCUUAACUUGGAGGCUGCUGCCGAAACUGCCGUGCUAGAGUACGGGAGAGGCGAGUGGAAUUACAGGUGUAGCGGUGAAAUGCGUAGAUAUCUGUAGGAAUACCCGUGGCGAAGGCGGCUCGCUGGACCGUUACUGACGCUGAGGAACGAAAGCUAGGGGAGCAAACAGG